RNAcentral lists this ribosomal RNA (500 nucleotides) under uncultured Glomeromycotina. Its description in RNAcentral is "partial small subunit ribosomal RNA". It matches the Rfam family "Eukaryotic small subunit ribosomal RNA", at positions 591 to 1092 of the family's 1831-position model. Lineage: Eukaryota; Fungi; Glomeromycota. The record is from RNAcentral.
CCAAUAGCGUAUAUUAAAGUUGUUGCAGUUAAAAAGCUCGUAGUUGAAUUUCGGGGUCAGUAGGUUGGUCAUGCCACUGGUAUGUACUGGUCUCACUGAUUCCUCCUUCCUGAUGAGCUGUAAUGCCAUUAAUUUGGUGUUGCAGGGAAUCUGGACUGUUACUUUGAAAAAAUUAGAGUGUUUAAAGCAGGCUAACGCCUGAAUACAUUAGCAUGGAAUAAUGAAAUAGGACGUUCGAUCCUAUUUUGUUGGUUUCUAGGAUUGACGUAAUGAUUAAUAGGGAUAGUUGGGGGCAUUAGUAUUCAAUUGUCAGAGGUGAAAUUCUUGUAUUUAUUGAAGACUAACUACUGCGAAAGCAUUUGCCAAGGAUGUUUUCAUUAAUCAAGAACGAAAGUUAGGGGAUCGAAGACGAUCAGAUACCGUCGUAGUCUUAACCAUAAACUAUGCCGACUAGGGAUCGGAUGAUGUUAAUUUUUUAAUGACUCAUUCGGCGCCUUACG